AGAGUUUGAUCCUGGCUCAGGAUGAACGCUAGCUACAGGCUUAACACAUGCAAGUCGAGGGGCAGCAGGACGAUAGCUUGCUAUUGUUGCUGGCGACCGGCGCACGGGUGAGUAACGCGUAUCCAACCUUCCCGCAAGUAGGGGAUAGCCCGGCGAAAGUCGGAUUAAUACCCUAUGUUCUUCAUGGAUGGCAUCUGAUAUGAAGCAAAGAUUCAUCGCUUGCGGAUGGGGAUGCGUCUGAUUAGGCAGCAGGCGGGGUAACGGCCCACCUGGCCGACGAUCAGUAGGGGUUCUGAGAGGAAGGUCCCCCACACUGGUACUGAGACACGGACCAGACUCCUACGGGAGGCAGCAGUGAGGAAUAUUGGUCAAUGGGCGUAAGCCUGAACCAGCCAAGUAGCGUGCAGGAUGACUGCCCUAUGGGUUGUAAACUGCUUUUACAGGGGAAUAAAGUACACUACGCGUAGUGUUUUGUAUGUACCCUGUGAAUAAGGACCGGCUAAUUCCGUGCCAGCAGCCGCGGUAAUACGGAAGGUCCGGGCGUUAUCCGGAUUUAUUGGGUUUAAAGGGAGCGCAGGCCGGUGAUUAAGCGUGACGUGAAAUGGUGCGGCUCAACCGUAGCAGUGCGUCGCGAACUGGUUGCCUUGAGUGAGUGCGACGUGGACGGAAUUCGUGGUGUAGCGGUGAAAUGCUUAGAUAUCACGAAGAACCCCGAUUGCGAAGGCAGUCCACGAGUCCUUAACUGACGCUAAAGCUCGAAAGUGCGGGUAUCGAACAGGAUUAGAUACCCUGGUAGUCCGCACGGUAAACGAUGGAUGCCCGCUGUAUGCGAUACAUUGUAUGCGGCCAAGCGAAAGCGUUAAGCAUCCCACCUGGGGAGUACGCCGGCAACGGUGAAACUCAAAGGAAUUGACGG
This 916-nucleotide ribosomal RNA is filed under the name uncultured bacterium. Its description in RNAcentral is "bacterial SSU rRNA". It matches the Rfam family "Bacterial small subunit ribosomal RNA", at positions 8 to 916 of the family's 1533-position model. The record is from RNAcentral.